GACACGCUGGCGGCGUGCUUAAUACAUGCAAGUCGAGCGAGGUUACUGGAGUGGAGCCCUUCGGGGUGAAGCUGCUUUAACCUAGCGGCGGACGGGUGAGUAACGCGUGGGUAACCUACCCCAAAGUCCGGGAUAACAGCGGGAAACCGCUGCUAAUACCGGAUGCCUUUACCUUGGGGCAUCUUGAGGUAAAGAAAGGCAACGCUUUGGGAUGGGCCCGCGUCCCAUUAGCUAGUUGGUGAGGUAACGGCUCACCAAGGCGACGAUGGGUAGCCGGCCUGAGAGGGUGGACGGCCACACUGGGACUGAGACACGGCCCAGACUCCUACGGGAGGCAGCAGUAGGGAAUAUUGCGCAAUGGACGGAAGUCUGACGCAGCGACGCCGCGUGAGCGAUGAAGGCCUUCGGGUCGUAAAGCUCUGUCCUUGGGGAAGAAGGCGAAAGCUUGACGGUACCCAAGAAGAAAGCCCCGGCUAACUACGUG
RNAcentral lists this ribosomal RNA (484 nucleotides) under uncultured bacterium. RNAcentral describes it as "bacterial SSU rRNA". It matches the Rfam family "Bacterial small subunit ribosomal RNA", at positions 33 to 507 of the family's 1533-position model. The record is from RNAcentral.